Molecule: ribosomal RNA, 497 nt
Filed under: uncultured bacterium
Lineage: Bacteria
Description: partial 16S ribosomal RNA
Rfam family: Bacterial small subunit ribosomal RNA
Source: RNAcentral
GAUGAACGCUGGCGGCGUGCCUAAUACAUGCAAGUCGAGCGAACAGACGAGGAGCUUGCUCCUUUGACGUUAGCGGCGGACGGGUGAGUAACACGUGGGUAACCUACCUAUCAGACUGGGAUAACUUCGGGAAACCGGAGCUAAUACCGGAUAAUAUUUCGAACCGCAUGGGUCGAUGGUGAAAGAUGGCUCUGCUAUCACUAAUAGAUGGACCUGCGCCGUAUUAGCUAGUUGGUAAGGUAACGGCUUACCAAGGCAACGAUUCGUAGCCGACCUGAGGGGGGGGUCGGCCACCCGGGAACUUGGCCACGGUCCAUGCGCCUACGGGAGGCAGCAGUAGGGAAUCUUCCGCAGUGGUCGAAAGCCUGACGGAGCAGCCCCGCGUGAGUGAUGAAGGUCUUCGGAUCGUAAAGCUCUGUUAUUAGGGAAGAACAAACGUGUAAGUAACUGAGCACUGCUUGACGGUACCGAGUCAGAAAGCCACGGCUAACUACGUG